GAAAGAAAUCUUGCAGAUAUGUCAUCCCCGGCUGAAGUAGAAAAGUAUUGUGAAGAGAACAAGAUUCAAAGCGCCCUUCCAAAGAUCAUAAAGACUGGGUUCUCGGCGAUCAAUCUUAUAUACUUCUUCACUGCUGGUCCUGAUGAGGUGAAAUGCUGGCAAAUUAGACGACAGACAAAGGCUCCUCAAGCUGCAGGGACAAUUCAUACUGAUUUUGAGAGAGGGUUCAUUUGUGCUGAGGUCAUGAAAUUUGAGGAUCUCAAGGAACAUGGAAGUGAGACGGCAGUCAAGGCUGCUGGAAAAUACAAACAAGAGGGAAAAACUUACGUGGUCCAAGAUGGAGAUAUUAUAUUCUUCAAAUUUAAUGUUUCAGGUGGUGGCAAAAAAUGAGUCCCAUAUAACGUAAUGUCGAC
Molecule: unclassified non-coding RNA, 413 nt
Filed under: Hevea brasiliensis (rubber tree)
Lineage: Eukaryota; Viridiplantae; Streptophyta; Magnoliopsida; Malpighiales; Euphorbiaceae
Source: RNAcentral